GGGGGGCUGCCUAUACUGCAAGUCGAGCGAAUGGAUUAAGAGCUUGCUCUUAUGAAGUUAGCGGCGGACGGGUGAGUAACACGUGGGUAACCUGCCCAUAAGACUGGGAUAACUCCGGGAAACCGGGGCUAAUACCGGAUAACAUUUUGAACCGCAUGGUUCGAAAUUGAAAGGCGGCUUCGGCUGUCACUUAUGGAUGGACCCGCGUCGCAUUAGCUAGUUGGUGAGGUAACGGCUCACCAAGGCAACGAUGCGUAGCCGACCUGAGAGGGUGAUCGGCCACACUGGGACUGAGACACGGCCCACACUCCUACGGGAGGCAGCAGUAGGGAAUCUUCCGCAAUGGACGAAAGUCUGACGGAGCAGCGCCGCGUGAGUGAUGAAGGCUUUCGGGUCGUAAAACUCUGUUGUUAGGGAAAAACAAGUGCUACUUGAAUAAGCUGGCACCUUGACGGUACCUAACCAGAAAGCGACGGCAAAAUACGUGCCAGCAGCGGCGGUGUUACUUAGGUGGCAAGCGUUAUCCGGAAUUAUUGGGCGUAAAGCGCGCGCAGGUGGUUUCUUAAGUCUGAUGUGAAAGCCCACGGCUCAACCGUGGAGGGGUCAUUGGAAAACUGGUAAAACUUCGACUGCAGAAGGAGGAAAGUCGAAAUUCCAUGUUGUCCCGGUGAAAUUGCCUAGAGAGUACGGACGGGGGUCCCUUGGCCAAAUUCGACUUUCCAGGUUUGUAACCCGACACUGGUGGCUCAAAAACCUGGGGGAUCACCCUUGGAAACAGAUUGCCCGGUAAUACACCCCGGCAAUUGAUAAGUGCCAAAUGGUAAUACGGU
RNAcentral lists this ribosomal RNA (830 nucleotides) under Bacillus cereus. Its description in RNAcentral is "bacterial SSU rRNA". It matches the Rfam family "Bacterial small subunit ribosomal RNA", at positions 41 to 839 of the family's 1533-position model. The record is from RNAcentral. Lineage: Bacteria; Bacillati; Bacillota; Bacilli; Caryophanales; Bacillaceae.